UUCCGUAUAGUUCAGUUGGUAGAACAGCGGACUGUUAAUCCGUGUGUCCCAGGUUCGAGUCCUGGUACGGGAGCCA
RNAcentral lists this transfer RNA (76 nucleotides) under Salipiger sp. PrR003. RNAcentral describes it as "Yangia sp. PrR003 tRNA-Asn". It matches the Rfam family "tRNA". From Rfam's summary of the family: Transfer RNA (tRNA) molecules are approximately 80 nucleotides in length. Their secondary structure includes four short double-helical elements and three loops (D, anti-codon, and T loops). Lineage: Bacteria; Pseudomonadati; Pseudomonadota; Alphaproteobacteria; Rhodobacterales; Roseobacteraceae. The record is from RNAcentral.